GACGAACGCUGGCGGCGUGCUUAACACAUGCAAGUCGAACGGAAAGGCCCUGCUUUUGUGGGGUGCUCGAGUGGCGAACGGGUGAGUAACACGUGAGUAACCUGCCCUUGACUUUGGGAUAACUUCAGGAAACUGGGGCUAAUACCGGAUAGGAGCUCCUGCUGCAUGGUGGGGGUUGGAAAGUUUCGGCGGUUGGGGAUGGACUCGCGGCUUAUCAGCCUGUUGGUGGGGUAGUGGCUUACCAAGGCUUUGACGGGUAGCCGGCCUGAGAGGGUGACCGGCCACAUUGGGACUGAGAUGCGGCCCAGACUCCUACGGGAGGCAGCAGUGGGGAAUAUUGCACAAUGGGCGGAAGCCUGAUGCAGCAACGCCGCGUGCGUGAUGACGGCCUUCGGGUUGUAAACCGCUUUCGCCUGUGACGAAGCGUGAGUGACGGUAAUGGGUAAAGAAGCACCGGCUAACUACGUG
Molecule: ribosomal RNA, 468 nt
Filed under: uncultured bacterium
Lineage: Bacteria
Description: partial 16S ribosomal RNA
Rfam family: Bacterial small subunit ribosomal RNA
Source: RNAcentral